Molecule: long non-coding RNA, 2234 nt
Filed under: Vigna radiata
Lineage: Eukaryota; Viridiplantae; Streptophyta; Magnoliopsida; Fabales; Fabaceae
Description: long non-coding RNA (VRAD_LNC006360)
Source: RNAcentral
ACUUAAUUUUUCGCGCCGAAUUGUGUUGAUGAUUUGCGCUUAAUUCUCGGUUAUUGUGUCAUUUUCACCAUUUGGGCUUAAUUAGACCAAUAAUUCUGAUUUUAAUUAAUUUGAAUUAAUUGAGCUUAAUUAUUCCUAUUUUUAUUUUUUUUCAGGGAAAUUUUGGAGUCACACUGUGAGAUUUUUGGAAGGGCACCUAUUAAUUGUAGACUCUCCACAAAGGCACUUUAGGAUUAGUCAAUUUUUAAUUUAGUAGAUUAGGCUUUUUAAUUUAAGUUUUGUAAUUUUGGGCUAAUUUUUGUUAGGUUAGACUAAGCCCAAUUGUAAAAAAAAAAGGUAGUGACAUGGCUCUAGGGUUUUAAAAAAAUGUGUGGACCCCACCAUGGGAUGUAAUUUUCAGACCUAGGGAUUUGGGGGAGCAUGAGCCGUCACUUUUGCAUGGUCUUCUGUCUCUCGGUUUUUUUUUAUAUUUGAAGGGUGAAACAUUCUCUGCAGAGUUUUUGGGUUUUGCUGUUACUUUCUCUGAGAAUACGAUGGAACUCAUGGUUUUCAUAGUUGAAUGAAGAAGCCACAUUUUCCCUUCCUUUUAUUUAGUUUUUUUUGGUGCAAAUGUUAAAACUGUCUCUCUUAGCCUUCAUUUACCGAGUAUUUGGCUGGAAAAUAGUAUAGUUGGCUUACGGUUUUAUCAAAAUGGUUGGAUAAUAAUAGAUUGUUUUUUUUUUCAUUUCAUUCGGUGCAAAGCUUGUUGUAGUUCUUCUUGGUGCAGUGUUCACUUAUUUGAGUUUUCUUUUCACUUGAAAAAUGAAGAGUUGAGUAAACGGGAUUAAGGGAAUGUGAACAUGGUCUCUUUGGAGAAAAGAAUGUUAUGCAUUGCAUUAAAGAAUGAGUUCUAGCAUGUUACUACUGUUAGGAAGGUAGCUCACGGUCCUUGCCCUUGAACCACCAGCGGUCACACAUGUUUUGAGCAUUGUUUGGAACAUUUCUUGAAGGGGAGAGCUGGAUUAUGUUUGCUGCAGCAGCGCCACCACAAGUUGCAUUUGAUCCACUUUCUUAUUGAUCACACAGUCUUGUGGGGAUUAUUCCAUCCAGUAGACUUUAAGCCAGGCAUUGCAUAUUUUGUUUUCUUUUAAAAGAAACCGUGCGUGUUACCUUGGGGAGAGAAGAAAAUUGUUGCUGCAGCUUGGUACGUCCCGGUUGCAUGGAGGGAUGGUAUUGAAAUGACAAUGAGUGUUACUGCUGCAGUGUAGGGCUCCCAUAUUUUGUUUUUUUUUAUAGUGAAGUUGGAACCGAGAAAGAGGAAUUGGUGUGCUGGAACUGGAAGCAAAUUCAAAUUGCUAGGGAAGUGUUUCACGUUUUUAUUGCUGAAUCAAGAUGGUGGGUCUGGUGCCUUGGUUCGUGAGCUUUGAUUCCAUUUGCUUUUCUUGAUUCACGGUCUCAUCCUUUGGGUAUUACAUUGCUGCCAAAUGUUUGUCUCGGGAAUACAUGGGAAAAGUAGGUGCAGUAGGUAGCUUUGCAUCCAAUUUCAUUUAGCAAAUUUGUGGGGUCCGUUAAUUGUAUGCUACUAGGAGAGAGGAAUCCUUGUUGAUGGCUGUGGUUUUUUGGAACUUUGAAGUCAAAGGUGCAUUGCAUUGAUGAGGAAAGAGUGUUAUUCACUUGCAGAGGUGUUACAGUUUCAACAUUUUACCACUUGAAUGCUAUUUAAUUUAUUUGGCUUUUAAGGAAUUGAUGAAGUGAUGCACACNGUGCCUUCAUUUUUCUCGGUGCUGCAACAAUGCUACAUAAGAGGGNCCCACGGUUCAUUGUUAUUUUGGUGGAAGCUUUGAUCACAUCAACAUUCAAGAAGUGAAUUCACGUCCUGCAAUGGUUUAUUUAGAUAAACUUGUUUUUUUUAUUUUAUUUUUUUUUCUUUUCUUUUAUUUUAAAUUAGUUUAGGUUUUAGAUAAAACUUUAUUUUUUUUUAUUUUAUUUUCUUUUAUUUUAAAUUAGUUUGAAUUGUAGGUUGAGUUGUUUUUAAUUUUUCUUAGUGCUUUCUAUCAUGUUCGAGUUGUGUUUAAUUUCCAUGCAUUUUAAUUUAGUGUAAUUCUCAUAUGAAAUACUUUCAACCCCCCCCACUGUGUGUUAGACUCGAUUAUUGAACCGCGAAAUUGGUCUUUGGGAGACGACCUGGGGGUCAUUCCCUAGUUUAUACUGCACUUUAAUUGCACAUCAAAUUUGAUUGGGCGGCGACACCCAUC